GCUCAUGUAGUUUAAUGAAAAUGUUGGUUUGUGGGGCCAGAGAUGUAAAAGGUUUUGUCUUGAGCA
RNAcentral lists this transfer RNA (66 nucleotides) under Plesionika izumiae. RNAcentral's name for it is "tRNA-His". It matches the Rfam family "tRNA". Rfam says of the family: Transfer RNA (tRNA) molecules are approximately 80 nucleotides in length. Lineage: Eukaryota; Metazoa; Arthropoda; Malacostraca; Decapoda; Pandalidae. The record is from RNAcentral.